This 1110-nucleotide long non-coding RNA is filed under the name Ficedula albicollis (Collared flycatcher). RNAcentral describes it as "lncRNA (ENSFALG00000028715.1)". Lineage: Eukaryota; Metazoa; Chordata; Aves; Passeriformes; Muscicapidae. The record is from RNAcentral.
AUGUUCAGGAUCUGCUCCCCACAGCCAUUCCCAGCUCCAUGUUCAGGAUCUGGCUCCCCACAGCCAUUCCCAGCUCCAUGUUCAGGAUCUGGCUCCCCACAGCCAUUCCCAGCUCCAUGUUCAGGAUCUGGCUCCCCACAGCCAUUCCCAGCUCCAUGUUCAGGAUCUGGCUCCCCACAGCCAUUCCCAGCUCCAUGUUCAGGAUCUGGCUCCCCACAGCCAUUCCCAGCUCCAUGUUCAGGAUCUGGCUCCCCACAGCCAUUCCCAGCUCCAUGUUCAGGAUCUGGCUCCCCACAGCCAUUCCCAGCUCCAUGUUCAGGAUCUGGCUCCCCACAGCCAUUCCCAGCUCCAUGUUCAGGAUCUGGCUCCCCACAGCCAUUCCCAGCUCCAUGUUCAGGAUCUGGCUCCCCACAGCCAUUCCCAGCUCCAUGUUCAGGAUCUGGCUCCCCACAGCCAUUCCCAGCUCCAUGUUCAGGAUCUGGCUCCCCACAGCCAUUCCCAGCUCCAUGUUCAGGAUCUGGCUCCCCACAGCCAUUCCCAGCUCCAUGUUCAGGAUCUGGCUCCCCACAGCCAUUCCCAGCUCCAUGUUCAGGAUCUGGCUCCCCACAGCCAUUCCCAGCUCCAUGUUCAGGAUCUGGCUCCCCACAGCCAUUCCCAGCUCCAUGUUCAGGAUCUGGCUCCCCACAGCCAUUCCCAGCUCCAUGUUCAGGAUCUGGCUCCCCACAGCCAUUCCCAGCUCCAUGUUCAGGAUCUGGCUCCCCACAGCCAUUCCCAGCUCCAUGUUCAGGAUCUGGCUCCCCACAGCCAUUCCCAGCUCCAUGUUCAGGAUCUGGCUCCCCACAGCCAUUCCCAGCUCCAUGUUCAGGAUCUGGCUCCCCACAGCCAUUCCCAGCUCCAUGUUCAGGAUCUGGCUCCCCACAGCCAUUCCCAGCUCCAUGCUCAGGAUCUGGCUCCCCACAGCCCUGCUCAGUGGCUUUGCUGAAGCCACCCAGCUGCUGUUCUGGUUUCUGGGCUUUGAGGGACAGCAGUGUCUCUGUGCUGGGAUGUACUGAGAUGCUCUCCUCAACUCCCAGGUCUUUAAUGCUGCUCUUGUGGGAAUGGAAGCAGUGA